GGGCGGCAGCGGGGUGGGAGCUUGCUCCCACUGCCGGCGAGCGGCGCACGGGUGAGUAACACGUAUGCAACCUGCCCCUGUCAGGGGGACAACCCGCCGAAAGGCGGGCUAAGCCCGCGUAUAUCGCCCCGGGGCAUCCCGGGGGGAGGAAAGGAGCGAUCCGGACAGGGAUGGGCAUGCGGCGCAUUAGCUGGUCGGCGGGGUAACGGCCCACCGAGGCGACGAUGCGUAGGGGUUCUGAGAGGAAGGCCCCCCACACUGGUACUGAGACACGGACCAGACUCCUACGGGAGGCAGCAGUGAGGAAUAUUGGUCAAUGGGCGGGAGCCUGAACCAGCCAAGCCGCGUGAGGGAAGAAGGUACAGCGUAUCGUAAACCUCUUUUGUCAGGGAACAAAGGCGGGGACUAGUCCCCGGAUGAGGGUACCUGAAGAAAAAGCAUCGGCUAACUCCGUGCCAGCAGCCGCGGUAAUACGGAGGAUGCGAGC
This 487-nucleotide ribosomal RNA is filed under the name uncultured bacterium. Its description in RNAcentral is "bacterial SSU rRNA". It matches the Rfam family "Bacterial small subunit ribosomal RNA", at positions 64 to 539 of the family's 1533-position model. The record is from RNAcentral.